This 468-nucleotide ribosomal RNA is filed under the name uncultured bacterium. Its description in RNAcentral is "partial 16S ribosomal RNA". It matches the Rfam family "Bacterial small subunit ribosomal RNA", at positions 28 to 507 of the family's 1533-position model. The record is from RNAcentral.
GACGAACGCUGGCGGCGUGCUUAACACAUGCAAGUCGAACGGAAAGGCCCUGCUUUUGUGGGGUGCUCGAGUGGCGAACGGGUGAGUAACACGUGAGUAACCUGCCCUUGACUUUGGGAUAACUUCAGGAAACUGGGGCUAAUACCGGAUAGGAGCUCCUGCUGCAUGGUGGGGGUUGGAAAGUUUCGGCGGUUGGGGAUGGACUCGCGGCUUAUCGGCUUGUUGGUGGGGUAGUGGCUUACCAAGGCUUUGACGGGUAGCCGGCCUGAGAGGGUGACCGGCCACAUUGGGACUGAGAUACGGCCCAGACUCCUACGGGAGGCAGCAGUGGGGAAUAUUGCACAAUGGACGGAAGCCUGAUGCAGCAACGCCGCGUGCGGGAUGACGGCCUUCGGGUUGUAAACCGCUUUCGCCUGUGACGAAGCGUGAGUGACGGUAAUGGGUAAAGAAGCACCGGCUAACUACGUG